Molecule: long non-coding RNA, 1115 nt
Organism: Coturnix japonica (Japanese quail)
Lineage: Eukaryota; Metazoa; Chordata; Aves; Galliformes; Phasianidae
Source: RefSeq, a predicted model, not a curated record
UUUUGGGUCAGGUGCUAUUGUGAGUGCUACUGAUGGCAUCAUUUCUGCCUUUCGUAUUGGACUGGCAUAUGUCCUGCGCCAGACAGAAAGGGCAUUGCCCAAACACACUGCCAGCAGCCUGUCCUGGCUUCCCAAGGUCCCACUGACAGUGUCAAGCUGUGCAGCGGGAGAUUCCAGAAGAGCAUAUUCGUCUGCAAGGCAAUGCUGCCUGCCAAGGGACGGCUGGUGGCAUCACUCUGCCCUCCUCACGCCUCUCCUUUCCCUGCAGUAGGUCGAGGUCUCUCAAGCCAAGUGUCAGAAUCACAAAAUCACAGAUCGAGAGGAAUUGAAAGGGACCUCUGGGCCAUCUCUAAUUAAUCUCUUCUGAGAGGUGAAGCGGCGAUGGCUCCGCGCUGUCGGCCAGGGCGUGCUACCACCUAGUGGCCACGGGCGACAGAGCCAAGCAGAGCGGGGCACAGGCUGCAGGACACACAGGGGCAGCCCCGCACCUUUGGGCCGUAUUUCUUUCUCCUUGGAGCAUCGCCGUUGCAGACAGAACGCAGCCCCGGCCUGUCAGAUGGGAGCCCCGCAGCCCCGCGCUGCCGUGAUUCCGAGCUGCAAUGAAACGUGCACCUGAGGCAGAGGCACUGAUGAAUCCUGGCGUUUCGUUUCUUUGCCUCCUCCCGAUUCCAUGGAGAUCUAUCGACUUGCCAGCUCGAGGAUCCACAGUGCCCAUCAUCCACAGCACGGCUGGCAGAGCUGGCGGCAGCGCUUUGUGCUAGGGAUGCUCACCAGAGAGUCAGAUGGAUGUGGCACUGAGUUAAGGCCUAUGAAAUCACAGCAUGGGGACCAGAAGGGUGCACCCUGGCCAUUCAGAGCCACCUGCUCCCAUAGGGUACCCCGGGCUGGUGCAGUCAGACAACACUGUGAACAUCUUAGCAGACACAACUGCUGCAGGCAACCUGCUUUAACACGGCUUCGGCUAUGCAGACGGGAAACAACAUCACCAGAAGCCAUCAGAGGUGAGAAGAGGAAGAAGAAAGGGCCAAUGCACUCCUUGGCAGGAGCUUAUUUACCAAACAGCUGGUGGAUGUGUGCCUAAUUUACACAGGGUAAGAAAAAUAAAGGCGCCUGCU